AACGUAGGACGCAAGCGUUAUCCGGAGUUACUGGGCGUAAAGCGCGUGCAGGCGGUCGGUCAAGUCUGAUGUGAAAUCUCUCCGCUCAACGGGGAGCAGCCAUUGGAAACUGGGCGACUGGAGUCUGACAGAGGUAGGCGGAAUUCCGGGUGGAGUGGUGAAAUGCGUAGAGAUCCGGAGGAACACCAGAGGCGAAGGCGGCCUACUGGGUCAGUACUGACGCUGAGCCGCGAAAGCCAGGGGAGCGAACGGG
This 253-nucleotide ribosomal RNA is filed under the name uncultured bacterium. RNAcentral describes it as "partial 16S ribosomal RNA". It matches the Rfam family "Bacterial small subunit ribosomal RNA", at positions 524 to 776 of the family's 1533-position model. The record is from RNAcentral.